GACGAACGCUGGCGGCGUGCUUAACACAUGCAAGUCGAACGGAAAGGCCCUGCUUUUGUGGGGUGCUCGAGUGGCGAACGGGUGAGUAACACGUGAGUAACCUGCCCUUGACUUUGGGAUAACUUCAGGAAACUGGGGCUAAUACCGGAUAGGAGCUCCUGCUGCAUUGUGGGGGGUGGAAAGUUUCGGCGGGUGGGGAUGGACUCGCGGCUUAUCAGCUUGUUGGUGGGGUAGUGGCUUACCAAGGCUUUGACGGGUAGCCGGCCUGAGAGGGUGACCGGCCACAUUGGGACUGAGAUACGGCCCAGACUCCUACGGGAGGCAGCAGUCGGGAAUAUUGCACAAUGGGCGGAAGCCUGAUGCAGCAACGCCGCGUGCGGGAUGACGGCCUUCGGGUUGUAAACCGCUUUCGCCUGUGACGAAGCGUGAGUGACGGUAAUGGGUAAAGAAGCACCGGCUAACUACGUG
RNAcentral lists this ribosomal RNA (468 nucleotides) under uncultured bacterium. RNAcentral's name for it is "partial 16S ribosomal RNA". It matches the Rfam family "Bacterial small subunit ribosomal RNA", at positions 28 to 507 of the family's 1533-position model. The record is from RNAcentral.